GACGAACGCUGGCGGCGUGCCUAAUACAUGCAAGUAGAACGCUGAAGAGAGGAGCUUGCUCUUCUUGGAUGAGUUGCGAACGGGUGAGUAACGCGUAGGUAACCUGCCUUGUAGCGGGGGAUAACUAUUGGAAACGAUAGCUAAUACCGCAUAACAAUGGAUGACACAUGUCAUUUAUUUGAAAGGGGCAAUUGUUCCACUACAAGAUGGACCUGCGUUGUAUUAGCUAGUAGGUGAGGUAAUGGCUCACCUAGGCGACGAUACAUAGCCGACCUGAGAGGGUGAUCGGCCACACUGGGACUGAGACACGGCCCAGACUCCUACGGGAGGCAGCAGUAGGGAAUCUUCGGCAAUGGGGGCAACCCUGACCGAGCAACGCCGCGUGAGUGAAGAAGGUUUUCGGAUCGUAAAGCUCUGUUGUAAGUCAAGAACGGGUGUGAGAGUGGAAAGUUCACACUGUGACGGUAGCUUACCAGAAAGGGACGGCUAACUACGUGCCAGCAGCCGCGGUAAUACGUANGUCCCGAGCGUUGUCCGGAUUUAUUGGGCGUAAAGCGAGCGCAGGCGGUUUGAUAAGUCUGAAGUUAAAGGCUGUGGCUCAACCAUAGUUCGCUUUGGAAACUGUCAAACUUGAGUGCAGAAGGGGAGAGUGGAAUUCCAUGUGUAGCGGUGAAAUGCGUAGAUAUAUGGAGGAACACCGGUGGCGAAAGCGGCUCUCUGGUCUGUAACUGACGCUGAGGCUCGAAAGCGUGGGGAGCGAACAGGAUUAGAUACCCUGGUAGUCCACGCCGUAAACGAUGAGUGCUAGGUGUUGGAUCCUUUCCGGGAUUCAGUGCCGCAGCUAACGCAUUAAGCACUCCGCCUGGGGAGUACGACCGCAAGGUUGAAACUCAAAGGAAUUGACGGGGGCCCGCACAAGCGGUGGAGCAUGUGGUUUAAUUCGAAGCAACGCGAAGAACCUUACCAGGUCUUGACAUCCCGAUGCUAUUUCUAGAGAUAGAAAGUUACUUCGGUACAUCGGUGACAGGUGGUGCAUGGUUGUCGUCAGCUCGUGUCGUGAGAUGUUGGGUUAAGUCCCGCAACGAGCGCAACCCCUAUUGUUAGUUGCCAUCAUUCAGUUGGGCACUCUAGCGAGACUGCCGGUAAUAAACCAGAGGAAGGUGGGGAUGACGUCAAAUCAUCAUGCCCCUUAUGACCUGGGCUACACACGUGCUACAAUGGUUGGUACAACGAGUUGCGAGUCGGUGACGGCGAGCUAAUCUCUUAAAGCCAAUCUCAGUUCGGAUUGUAGGCUGCAACUCGCCUACAUGAAGUCGGAAUCGCUAGUAAUCGCGGAUCAGCACGCCGCGGUGAAUACGUUCCCGGGCCU
RNAcentral lists this ribosomal RNA (1369 nucleotides) under uncultured bacterium. RNAcentral describes it as "bacterial SSU rRNA". It matches the Rfam family "Bacterial small subunit ribosomal RNA", at positions 28 to 1381 of the family's 1533-position model. The record is from RNAcentral.